UAUACCGUGAACUGCGAAUGGCUCAUUAAAUCAGUUAUCGUUUAUUUGAUAGUACCUUACUACUUGGAUAACCGUGGUAAUUCUAGAGCUAAUACAUGCUAAAAACCCCAACUUCGGGAGGGGUGUAUUUAUUAGAUAAAAAACCAAUGCCCUUCGGGGCUCCUUGGUGAUUCAUAAUAACUUCUCAGAUCGCAUGGCCUUGCGCCGGCGACGGUUCAUUCAAAUUUCUGCCCUAUCAACUUUCGAUGGUAAGGUAUUGGCUUACCAUGGUUUCAACGGGUAACGGGGAAUUAGGGUUCGAUUCCGGAGAGGGAGCCUGAGAAACGGCUACCACAUCCAAGGAAGGCAGCAGGCGCGCAAAUUACCCAAUCCCGACACGGGGAGGUAGUGACAAUAAAUACUGAUACAGGGCUCUUUAGGGUCUUGUAAUUGGAAUGAGUACAAUUUAAACCUCUUAACGAGGAACAAUUGGAGGGCAAGUCUGGUGCCAGCAGCCGCGGUAAUUCCAGCUCCAAUAGCGUAUAUUAAAGUUGUUGCAGUUAAAAAGCUCGUAGUUGAACCUUUGGCCUGGCUGGCGGGUCCGCCUCACCGCGUGCACUCGUCCGGCCGGGCCUUUUCUUCUGGAGAACCGCAUGCCCUUCACUGGGUGUGUUGGGGACCAGGACUUUUACUUUGAAAAAAUUAGAGUGUUCAAAGCAGGCCUUUGCUCGAAUACGUUAGCAUGGAAUAAUAGAAUAGGACGUGCGGUCCUAUUUUGUUGGUUUCUAGGACCGCCGUAAUGAUUAAUAGGGACAGUCGGGGGCAUCAGUAUUCAAUUGUCAGAGGUGAAAUUCUUGGAUUUAUUGAAGACUAACUACUGCGAAAGCAUUUGCCAAGGAUGUUUUCAUUAAUCAGUGAACGAAAGUUAGGGGAUCGAAGACGAUCAGAUACCGUCGUAGUCUUAACCAUAAACUAUGCCGACUAGGGAUCGGGCGGUGUUACUAUUUUGACCCGCUCGGCACCUUACGAGAAAUCAAAGU
This 1019-nucleotide ribosomal RNA is filed under the name Periconia byssoides. Its description in RNAcentral is "SSU rRNA". It matches the Rfam family "Eukaryotic small subunit ribosomal RNA", at positions 75 to 1104 of the family's 1831-position model. The record is from RNAcentral. Lineage: Eukaryota; Fungi; Ascomycota; Dothideomycetes; Pleosporales; Periconiaceae.